GGGCAUGCACAAGCCGCCUUCCCCCGGAGCGCGGCGCUCGGCUCCCCGCGGGGCUGCACCAGGGACUCCUGCGAGGCGGGGAGGCCGGGCUUUGAAGGUAAAAUGACCACAAAAUGGAGAAUAAUUAAAACAUCUCCAAAAUUCAGGAAGAAAAGGUUUAAACUGAACUUACCAGACAUCCUGACCUGAAAGAAGAAGCAACUUUUAGAACAGCUGAUGUUGCAGCAGAAGAAUCAGCCACCUGGGCUCCUAGAUUCUGGGGGGAAAGGGAACAAAAAACCAAUCAUUUUAAAAUUUAAAAAAAGAAUACACAAUAUCACUGUGCAAAUUCCAGGUGGAGACCAACAAUAUUAAUGUUUUAUACCUACAGAUAUAAGUUUGAGAUUUUCUCCCCUAAUGCCAAGUAUUUAAAACCUCUAGAAACCAAUGAUUUGACAAUCAAUGAUUGCGCGAUACUUUCAAUUUGAAUAUUCAAAGGCUUAACAAAA
Non-coding RNA from Pelodiscus sinensis (Chinese soft-shelled turtle), 488 nucleotides. NCBI's taxonomy places the organism in Eukaryota, Metazoa, Chordata, Testudines, Trionychidae. The record is from RefSeq and is a predicted model, not a curated record.